Molecule: long non-coding RNA, 424 nt
Filed under: Salvator merianae (Argentine black and white tegu)
Lineage: Eukaryota; Metazoa; Chordata; Lepidosauria; Squamata; Teiidae
Description: lncRNA (ENSSMRG00000017948.1)
Source: RNAcentral
GCUGGAGGGAAUGUGGAACUGAGAUCUGGCCCUUAGUAUAAUCUUCUCGUCUCUUUCUCUCUCCCUCUCCCUCUCUUUCUGUAUAGAUCUGGCACGGCCUUGCUCUCUCGACUCCCAGAUCUUUGUUUCGGUGGCGGCGGCCAGAAAGAGUAAGAGAGCGCUGUGCUCUCAUUUCCCUCUGUCCCCCCCCCCUUUAAAAGUCUCCUCUUCCAACUUUCCUCCAGUUAUUCCCUCCUCAACCCGACUGACAGCAUUUGCUGAAAAAUCUACAGCUUUGUUUGUCUUAUAUGGUGGAAAUAUGGUCAUUUGCAUUGAGAAGACCUGCCAGAAUAGCAGAACAUCUGGAAAGCUGCCCAAAGUCACCAAUUCAUCAAGCCUGUUCCCCAUAUGUGAUAUAACCUGCACCACGAGGAAAAGCUCAUAG